RNAcentral lists this ribosomal RNA (466 nucleotides) under uncultured bacterium. Its description in RNAcentral is "partial 16S ribosomal RNA". It matches the Rfam family "Bacterial small subunit ribosomal RNA", at positions 28 to 506 of the family's 1533-position model. The record is from RNAcentral.
GACGAACGCUGGCGGCGUGCUUAACACAUGCAAGUCGAACGGAAAGGCCCUGCUUUUGUGGGGUGCUCGAGUGGCGAACGGGUGAGUAACACGUGAGUAACCUGCCCUUGACUUGGGAUAACUUCAGGAAACUGGGGCUAAUACCGGAUAGGAGCUUCUGCCGCCUGGUGGGGGUUGGAAAGUUUCGGCGGUUGGGGAUGGACUCGCGGCUUAUCAGCUUGUUGGUGGGGUAGUGGCUUACCAAGGCUUUGACGGGUUGCCGGCCUGGGAGGGGGACCGGCCACAUUGGGACUGAGAUACGGCCCAGACGCCUACGGGAGGCAGCAGUGGGGAUUAUUGCACAAUGGGCGGAGGCCUGCUGCAGCAACGCCGCGUGCGGGAUGACGGCCUUCGGGUUGUAAACCGCUUUCGCCUGUGACGAAGCGUGAGUGACGGUAAUGGGUAAAGAAGCACCGGCUAACUACGU